This 646-nucleotide ribosomal RNA is filed under the name Burkholderia sp. RNAcentral's name for it is "bacterial SSU rRNA". It matches the Rfam family "Bacterial small subunit ribosomal RNA", at positions 416 to 1053 of the family's 1533-position model. The record is from RNAcentral. Lineage: Bacteria; Pseudomonadati; Pseudomonadota; Betaproteobacteria; Burkholderiales; Burkholderiaceae.
CUUCGGGUUGUAAAGCACUUUUGUCCGGAAAGAAAUCCUUGGUUCUAAUAUAGCCGGGGGAUGACGGUACCGGAAGAAUAAGCACCGGCUAACUACGUGCCAGCAGCCGCGGUAAUACGUAGGGUGCGAGCGUUAAUCGGAAUUACUGGGCGUAAAGCGUGCGCAGGCGGUUUGCUAAGACCGAUGUGAAAUCCCCGGGCUCAACCUGGGAACUGCAUUGGUGACUGGCAGGCUAGAGUAUGGCAGAGGGGGGUAGAAUUCCACGUGUAGCAGUGAAAUGCGUAGAGAUGUGGAGGAAUACCGAUGGCGAAGGCAGCCCCCUGGGCCAAUACUGACGCUCAUGCACGAAAGCGUGGGGAGCAAACAGGAUUAGAUACCCUGGUAGUCCACGCCCUAAACGAUGUCAACUAGUUGUUGGGGAUUCAUUUCCUUAGUAACGUAGCUAACGCGUGAAGUUGACCGCCUGGGGAGUACGGUCGCAAGAUUAAAACUCAAAGGAAUUGACGGGGACCCGCACAAGCGGUGGAUGAUGUGGAUUAAUUCGAUGCAACGCGAAAAACCUUACCUACCCUUGACAUGGUCGGAAUCCUGCUGAGAGGUGGGAGUGCUCGAAAGAGAACCGGCGCACAGGUGCUGCAUGGCUGUC